GACGAACGCUGGCGGCGUGCCUAAUACAUGUAAGUAGAACGCACAGUUUAUACCGUAGCUUGCUACACCAUAGACUGUGAGUUGCGAACGGGUGAGUAACGCGUAGGUAACCUGCCUGGUAGCGGGGGAUAACUAUUGGAAACGAUAGCUAAUACCGCAUAAUAUUAAUUAUUGCAUGAUAAUUAAUUGAAAGGUGCAAUUGCACCACUACCAGAUGGACCUGCGUUGUAUUAGCUAGUAGGUGAGGUAACGGCUCACCUAGGCGACGAUACAUAGCCGACCUGAGAGGGUGAUCGGCCACACUGGGACUGAGACAUGGCCCAGACUCCUACGGGAGGCAGCAGUAGGGAAUCUUCGGCAAUGGACGAAAGUCUGACCGAGCAACGCCGCGUGAGUGAAGAAGGUUUUCGGAUCGUAAAGCUCUGUUGUAAGAGAAGAACGGGUGUGAGAGUGGAAAGUUCACACUGUGACGGUAUCUUACCAGAAAGGGACGGCUAACUACGUG
This 505-nucleotide ribosomal RNA is filed under the name uncultured bacterium. RNAcentral's name for it is "partial 16S ribosomal RNA". It matches the Rfam family "Bacterial small subunit ribosomal RNA", at positions 28 to 507 of the family's 1533-position model. The record is from RNAcentral.